GACGAACGCUGGCGGCGUGCUUAACACAUGCAAGUCGAGCGGUAAGGCCCUUUCGGGGUACACGAGCGGCGAACGGGUGAGUAACACGUGGUGACCUGCCCUUACGCUCUGGGAUAAGCCUGGGAAACGUGGGUCUAAUACCGGAUAUGACUCCAUGACGCAUGUUGUGGGUGGAAAGCCUUGUGCGGCUAGGGAUGGGCCCGCGCCUAUCAGCUUGUUGGUGGGGUGAGGCCUACCAAGGCGACGACGGGUAGCCGGCCUGAGA
This 265-nucleotide ribosomal RNA is filed under the name uncultured bacterium. RNAcentral's name for it is "partial 16S ribosomal RNA". It matches the Rfam family "Bacterial small subunit ribosomal RNA", at positions 28 to 297 of the family's 1533-position model. The record is from RNAcentral.